RNAcentral lists this ribosomal RNA (253 nucleotides) under uncultured bacterium. RNAcentral's name for it is "partial 16S ribosomal RNA". It matches the Rfam family "Bacterial small subunit ribosomal RNA", at positions 524 to 776 of the family's 1533-position model. The record is from RNAcentral.
UACGAAGGGGGCUAGCGUUGUUCGGAAUUACUGGGCGUAAAGGGCGUGUAGGCGGCCCGUUAAGGCAGGUGUGAAAUUCCUGGGCUCAACCCAGGACGUGCGCCUGAGACUGGAGGGCUUGAGUUCGGGAGAGGAUGGUGGAACUCCCCGUGUAGAGGUGAAAUUCGUAGAUAUUGGGAAGAACACCGGUGGCGAAGGCGGCGCCCUGGUCCGGUACUGACGCUGAGGCGCGAAAGCGUGGGGAGCAAACAGG